Molecule: transfer RNA, 73 nt
Organism: Chamaesiphon minutus PCC 6605
Lineage: Bacteria; Bacillati; Cyanobacteriota; Cyanophyceae; Gomontiellales; Chamaesiphonaceae
Rfam family: tRNA
About the family: Transfer RNA (tRNA) molecules are approximately 80 nucleotides in length. Their secondary structure includes four short double-helical elements and three loops (D, anti-codon, and T loops). Further hydrogen bonds mediate the characteristic L-shaped molecular structure. tRNAs have two regions of fundamental functional importance: the anti-codon, which is responsible for specific mRNA codon recognition, and the 3' end, to which the tRNAs corresponding amino acid is attached (by aminoacyl-tRNA synthetases). tRNAs cope with the degeneracy of the genetic code in two manners: having more than one tRNA (with a specific anti-codon) for a particular amino acid; and 'wobble' base-pairing, i.e. permitting non-standard base-pairing at the 3rd anti-codon position.
Source: Rfam
GGGAUUGUAGCUCAGUGGUGAGAGCGUCCGCCUGUCUAGCGGAAAGUCGCGGGUUCGAAUCCCGUCAAUCUCG